Molecule: long non-coding RNA, 209 nt
Filed under: Elaeis guineensis (African oil palm)
Lineage: Eukaryota; Viridiplantae; Streptophyta; Magnoliopsida; Arecales; Arecaceae
Description: long non-coding RNA (EGUI_LNC002142)
Source: RNAcentral
GUCCCAUUCUCUCCCUGUUGCCAUGUCGUUGCCUUUGGAUUUGCCACCUUUAGAGUUAAUUAAGAAUCGGGUGAGAGUGCGGAAUGCCGUUGCAAGCGAUGUCCGUCGAAGGUACCUAGCCCAUAAAAGGGAGAGAGCUAAGCACGUCGGUGCAUCCACUUCUCAUGGGGCUCCCCCUCCUUUGUUUCCUGCGAUCAGCCUCCCCUCUU